This 465-nucleotide ribosomal RNA is filed under the name Macrocheira kaempferi. RNAcentral describes it as "partial 16S ribosomal RNA". It matches the Rfam family "Bacterial large subunit ribosomal RNA", at positions 1929 to 2598 of the family's 2925-position model. The record is from RNAcentral. Lineage: Eukaryota; Metazoa; Arthropoda; Malacostraca; Decapoda; Inachidae.
AGCCGCGGUAUUUUGACCGUGCAAAGGUAGCAUAAUCACUAGUUUUUUAAAUGAGAACUUGUAUGAAUGGUUGGACGAAGGAAAAACUGUCUCUGUGAUAAAAUUUGAAUUUGACUUUUAAGUGAAAAGGCUUAAAUUUUUUAGGGGGACGAUAAGACCCUAUAAAGCUUUACAUAUAAAUAUAAUUUGGACAAAAUUGUACAUAAAGAUGUGAUUAAGUUAUUAUGUUUCGUUGGGGCGAUGUGAAUAUAAGUAAUAUUAACUGUUUAGAGUUAAUACAUUAAUAAAUGAGUUUAAAAAUUGAUCCUUUUUAAAGAUUAGAAGACUAAGUUACUUUAGGGAUAACAGCGUCAUUUCUUUUGAGAGCCCAUAUCGAAAAAGAAGUUUGUGACCUCGAUGUUGAAUUAAAAUAUCUAAAUAAUGCAGCAGUUAUUUAAGAAGGUCUGUUCGACCUUUAAAUUUUUA